This 456-nucleotide ribosomal RNA is filed under the name uncultured bacterium. RNAcentral describes it as "bacterial SSU rRNA". It matches the Rfam family "Bacterial small subunit ribosomal RNA", at positions 923 to 1379 of the family's 1533-position model. The record is from RNAcentral.
GCACAAGCGGUGGAGCAUGUGGUUUAAUUCGACGCAACGCGAAGAACCUUACCUGGGCUCGAAAUGUAGUGGACCGGGGUAGAAAUAUCCCUUUCUAGCAAUAGACUGCUAUAUAGGUGCUGCAUGGCUGUCGUCAGCUCGUGUCGUGAGAUGUUGGGUUAAGUCCCGCAACGAGCGCAACCCUUAUCUUCAGUUGCUACCAUUUAGUUGAGCACUCUGACGAAACCGCCUCGGAUAACGGGGAGGAAGGUGGGGAUGACGUCAAGUCCUCAUGGCCUUUAUGUCCAGGGCUACACACGUGCUACAAUGGCCGGUACAAACCGCUGCAAACCCGCGAGGGGGAGCUAAUCGGAAAAAGCCGGCCUCAGUUCGGAUUGGAGUCUGCAACUCGACUCCAUGAAGCUGGAAUCGCUAGUAAUCGUGGAUCAGCAUGCCACGGUGAAUACGUUCCCGGGC